RNAcentral lists this ribosomal RNA (855 nucleotides) under fungal endophyte. RNAcentral's name for it is "eukaryotic LSU rRNA". The stretch from base 495 to 855 matches the Rfam family "Eukaryotic large subunit ribosomal RNA", at positions 1 to 364 of the family's 3401-position model. Lineage: Eukaryota; Fungi. The record is from RNAcentral.
UUAAAGAGUUCUAUAACUCCCAAACCCAUGUGAACAUACCUAACGUUGCCUCGGCAGGUCGCACCUACCUUGUAGCACCCUACCCUGUAGGGCCUACCCGGGAGAUGCGGGUAAGCCUGCCGGCGGCCCACCAAACUCUGUUUAAUAUUGAAUUCUGAACAUAUAACUAAAUAAGUUAAAACUUUCAACAACGGAUCUCUUGGUUCUGGCAUCGAUGAAGAACGCAGCGAAAUGCGAUAAGUAAUGUGAAUUGCAGAAUUCAGUGAAUCAUCGAAUCUUUGAACGCAUAUUGCGCCCAUUAGUAUUCUAGUGGGCAGGACCGUUCGAGCGUCAUUUCGACCCUUAAGCCUUAGUUGCUUAGUGUUGGGAGCCUACGGCAACGUAGCUCCUCAAAGUUAGUGGCGGAGUUGGUUCACACUCUAGACGUAGUAAUUUUUUAUCUCGCCUAUUAGUUGGACUGAUCCCCUGCCGUAAAACCCCCAACUUAUCAAGGUUGACCUCGAAUCGGUUCAGACAAACUCGCUAAAUUGAAGCAUCUUAGUCAGCGAAGGAAAAGAAACCAACAGGGAUUGCCCUAGUAACGGCGAGUGAAGCGGCAACAGCUCAAAUUUGAAAUCUGGCCCUCGGGUCCGAGUUGUAAUUUGUAGAGGAUGCUUUUGGCGCGGUGCCUUCCGAGUUCCCUGGAACGGGACGCCUUAGAGGGUGAGAGCCCCGUACGGUUGGACACCAAGCCUCUGUAAAGCUCCUUCGACGAGUCGAGUAGCUUGGGAAUGCUGCUCUAAAUGGGAGGUAAAUUUCUUCUAAAGCUAAAUAUUGGCCAGAGACCGAUAGCGCACAAGUAGAGUGAUCGAAAGA